This 468-nucleotide ribosomal RNA is filed under the name uncultured bacterium. RNAcentral describes it as "partial 16S ribosomal RNA". It matches the Rfam family "Bacterial small subunit ribosomal RNA", at positions 28 to 507 of the family's 1533-position model. The record is from RNAcentral.
GACGAACGCUGGCGGCGUGCUUAACACAUGCAAGUCGAACGGAAAGGCCCUGCUUUUGUGGGGUGCUCGAGUGGCGAACGGGUGAGUAACACGUGAGUAACCUGCCCUUGACUUUGGGAUAACUUCAGGAAACUGGGGCUAAUACCGGAUAGGAGCUCCUGCUGCAUGGUGGGGGUUGGAAAGUUUCGGCGGUUGGGGAUGGACUCGCGGCUUAUCAGCUUGUUGGUGGGGUAGUGGCUUACCAAGGCUUUGACGGGUAGCCGGCCUGAGAGGGUGACCGGCCACAUUGGGACUGAGAUACGGCCCAGACUCCUACGGGAGGCAGCUGUGGGGAAUAUUGCACAAUGGGCGGAAGCCUGAUGCAGCAACGCCGCGUGCGGGAUGGCGGCCUUCGGGUUGUAAACCGCUUUCGCCUGUGACGAAGCGUGAGUGACGGUAAUGGGUAAAGAAGCACCGGCUAACUACGUG